AGAGCGAACGCUGGCGGCAGGCCUAACACAUGCAAGUCGAGCGCCCCGCAAGGGGAGCGGCAGACGGGAGAGUAACACGUGGGAACGUACCCUUCAGUUCGGAACAACCCAGGGAAACUUGGGCUAAUACCGAAUACGUCCGUAAGGAGAAAGAUUUAUCGCUGAAGGAUCGGCCCGCGUCUGAUUAGCUUGUUGGUGAGGUAACGGCUCACCAAGGCGACGAUCAGUAGCUGGUCUGAGAGGAUGAUCAGCCUCACUGGGACUGAGACACGGCCCAGACUCCUACGGGAGGCAGCAGUGGGGAAUAUUGGACAAUGGGCGCAAGCCUGAUCCAGCCAUGCCGCGUGGGUGAUGAAGGCCCUAGGGGUUGUAAAGCCCUUUCGGCGGGGAAGAUAAUGACGGUACCCGCAGAAGAAGCCCCGGCUAACUUCGUGCCAGCAGCCGC
RNAcentral lists this ribosomal RNA (445 nucleotides) under uncultured bacterium. RNAcentral's name for it is "SSU rRNA". It matches the Rfam family "Bacterial small subunit ribosomal RNA", at positions 26 to 518 of the family's 1533-position model. The record is from RNAcentral.